RNAcentral lists this microRNA precursor (90 nucleotides) under Marmota monax (woodchuck). The record is from RNAcentral. Lineage: Eukaryota; Metazoa; Chordata; Mammalia; Rodentia; Sciuridae.
UUUCCUAAAUUUCUUAAUCUGAUAUAAUGCCAUUUGUCAAACAGCAAAAUUUGACAAAUGACAUUAUAUCAGAUUAAGAAGUUUAGGAAA